GCCAGAGCAAAAGGUUGUUCACACCUGUAAUACCCACUAUCAGGAGGCUGAGGCUGGUAGCUUGUUUGAGCUCAGGAGUUCUGAGUUGCAGUAGGGCUAAAGCCUCCUGGAUUUCUGCGCUAAGUACUGCACCAAAAUGGUUAGCACCUGGGAGCAAGAGGCCACCAGGCUGUUUAAGGAGGGGCAAACCAGCCCAGGUCAAAAAUGUAACAGAUCAAAGCUACCAUGCCUAUCAAUAGUAGGACAGGCCAUGAGUGGCUACUGCAUUUAUAACCUUUGCAAGAUAAGAAGAGCCAGUCUUAA
RNAcentral lists this signal recognition particle RNA (303 nucleotides) under Vombatus ursinus (common wombat). RNAcentral describes it as "Metazoan signal recognition particle RNA (ENSVURG00010018722.1)". It matches the Rfam family "Metazoan signal recognition particle RNA". Rfam says of the family: The signal recognition particle (SRP) is a universally conserved ribonucleoprotein. It is involved in the co-translational targeting of proteins to membranes. The record is from Rfam by way of RNAcentral. Lineage: Eukaryota; Metazoa; Chordata; Mammalia; Diprotodontia; Vombatidae.